ACUCCAGUCAUCUUUCUAGUUCACAUGACAGAGAGAGGUCAAAACACCAACGAGUACCCCCGGGACUGGCAGGAAGAACGGAUGACGCUGGGGAAGGGCCAUGAUUCCUGAGGAAGAAGGGAGAAGAGAAUGGUCUAAGAUGGAACUAGGUGUGCCAGAAAAGACUUGAAGACACCUCUGGAGACAUCUGGGAGAAUGCAUGGUAAAAUGGCAGUGUUAGCAAACAGUAGCUAUCACUACUACUGUGGAAUGAAAGUAAUGAGAAACAAUUAAAACCCUCAUUUAAUCCACCAAGAAA
This 298-nucleotide long non-coding RNA is filed under the name Mus spretus (western wild mouse). RNAcentral's name for it is "lncRNA (ENSMSPG00010043037.1)". The record is from RNAcentral. Lineage: Eukaryota; Metazoa; Chordata; Mammalia; Rodentia; Muridae.